AACAUUGAAAAGGACAAUAUGUAUUAAAUUGGCAUCAGUAUAUUUAAGACAUUACCGAGAACCUCCUGAAUCACAUCCCUGUUCAGCUGGAACCCUUCUCCUAACAAUUUAAAUAGAAAAUCUUCCGUAUCCUUCUGCAAAUGUCAUUCUUUGAUUGUUUUGGUUUAGUUUCUUCUCUGCACAGUGCAGACAUGGGAAAACUCCUUUAGAUCCAACUUCAAUGGCUUUGAUGCCAGAAAAGUGCCAUUAGCUGGUUGCGCAGGUUUAAUAUAUUCUUUACCAAGAAAACUUGAAACGGUACCUCCUGAUACCGGACGCCAUUUUGUCCUAGUAGGUCUAGAUUUUCCAUUUUUCUAAAACGAAUUCUCGGAUAUGUUACUAUUUGAUGAUUUUGAAGACUUUUUACCCCUUGCCUCACCAGCAGAAAGAUGGAUAGAAGCGGUUUAGGUGUUUGCCUGUCUGUCACAGAGAAAUUCACCAGCCAAAUCGGGAUUUCCGAUAAGCGAGGCUAUUUAUUGCAGAGUAAACACAGACCAAAUGUGUCAAGUAAAACCUUUAGUGCCUUUCCUCAAUGUCAUAAUUUAAUCCAUUAGACCCAGAUACUUCCUUUCCAAAUAAACUUCACAGAUUAAUACAAAAAGAAAAAAUCAGCACAUGCUUCUGGAUUUGAAUUUGACAUAAAUAAUUGGGGAAAAGAGAAAAUUAAAGUGUGGAUCACAAAUUGAAUCACUGUAACACAUAAUCUACCCAAUUAAUGCCAAUAACUUAUAGCACAGAAACUCCUUCACAAUGCUUUUGUUCUAACACAAAUUUUCUGUACAAUCACCCAGCAUUCAUGGUGUGUAGCUAUUUAAAACUUUAUAUAUGUAUAAUAAAUGAGUCAAAUAAAUAUAAAUAUUUAAAAUAAUAUAUAUUUUAUAAUAUUUUUUUAAUCUGCUGUACGGCCAAGGCGGAUGUACGGUACAGCAGAUCAGUAUAUUUAAGACAUUACCGAGAACCUCCUGAAUCACAUCCCUGUUCAGCUGGAACCCUUCUCCUAACAAUUUAAAUAGAAAAUCUUCCGUAUCCUUCUGCAAAUGUCAUUCUUUGAUUGUUUUGGUUUAGUUUCUUCUCUGCACAGUGCAGACAUGGGAAAACUCCUUUAGAUCCAACUUCAAUGGCUUUGAUGCCAGAAAAGUGCCAUUAGCUGGUUGCGCAGGUUUAAUAUAUUCUUUACCAAGAAAACUUGAAACGGUACCUCCUGAUACCGGACGCCAUUUUGUCCUAGUAGGUCUAGAUUUUCCAUUUUUCUAAAACGAAUUCUCGGAUAUGUUACUAUUUGAUGAUUUUGAAGACUUUUUACCCCUUGCCUCACCAGCAGAAAGAUGGAUAGAAGCGGUUUAGGUGUUUGCCUGUCUGUCACAGAGAAA
RNAcentral lists this long non-coding RNA (1409 nucleotides) under Citrus sinensis (sweet orange). Its description in RNAcentral is "long non-coding RNA (CSIN_LNC000222)". The record is from RNAcentral. Lineage: Eukaryota; Viridiplantae; Streptophyta; Magnoliopsida; Sapindales; Rutaceae.